CUUAAAUUGAAGAGUUUGAUCAUGGCUCAGAUUGAACGCUGGCGGCAGGCCUAACACAUGCAAGUCGAGCGAAAACGAGUUAUCUGAACC
RNAcentral lists this ribosomal RNA (90 nucleotides) under Vibrio parahaemolyticus. Its description in RNAcentral is "partial 16S ribosomal RNA". It matches the Rfam family "Bacterial small subunit ribosomal RNA", at positions 1 to 86 of the family's 1533-position model. The record is from RNAcentral. Lineage: Bacteria; Pseudomonadati; Pseudomonadota; Gammaproteobacteria; Vibrionales; Vibrionaceae.